RNAcentral lists this ribosomal RNA (403 nucleotides) under Candidatus Soleaferrea sp. Its description in RNAcentral is "bacterial SSU rRNA". It matches the Rfam family "Bacterial small subunit ribosomal RNA", at positions 355 to 776 of the family's 1533-position model. The record is from RNAcentral. RNAcentral also lists the same sequence under 1 other name. Lineage: Bacteria; Bacillati; Bacillota; Clostridia; Eubacteriales.
UGGGGGAUAUUGCACAAUGGGCGAAAGCCUGAUGCAGCGACGCCGCGUGAGGGAAGACGGUUUUCGGAUUGUAAACCUCUGUCUUCGGGGACGAAAAUGACGGUACCCGAGGAGGAAGCCACGGCUAACUACGUGCCAGCAGCCGCGGUAAUACGUAGGUGGCAAGCGUUGUCCGGAAUUACUGGGUGUAAAGGGAGAGUAGGCGGGAUUGCAAGUCCGUUGUUAAAUCUAUCGGCUUAACCGGUAGCUGCGGCGGAAACUGUAGUUCUUGAGUGAAGUAGAGGCAGGCGGAAUUCCUAGUGUAGCGGUGAAAUGCGUAGAUAUUAGGAGGAACACCAGUGGCGAAGGCGGCCUGCUGGGCUUUAACUGACGCUGAGGCUCGAAAGUGUGGGGAGCAAACAGG